This 468-nucleotide ribosomal RNA is filed under the name uncultured bacterium. RNAcentral describes it as "partial 16S ribosomal RNA". It matches the Rfam family "Bacterial small subunit ribosomal RNA", at positions 28 to 507 of the family's 1533-position model. The record is from RNAcentral.
GACGAACGCUGGCGGCGUGCUUAACACAUGCAAGUCGAACGGAAAGGCCCUGCUUUUGUGGGGUGCUCGAGUGGCGAACGGGUGUGUAACACGUGAGUAACCUGCCCUUGACUUUGGGAUAACUUCAGGAAACUGGGGCUAAUACCGGAUAGGAGCUCCUGCUGCAUGGUGGGGGUUGGAAAGUUUCGGCGGUUGGGGAUGGACUCGCGGCUUAUCAGCUUGUUGGUGGGGUAGUGGCUUACCAAGGCGUUGACGGGUAGCCGGGCUGAGAGGGUGACCGGCCACAUUGGGACUGAGAUACGGCCCAGACUCCUACGGGAGGCAGCAGUGGGGAAUAUUGCACAAUGGGCGGAAGCCUGAUGCAGCAACGCCGCGUGCGGGAUGACGGCCUUCGGGUUGUAAACCGCUUUCGCCUGUGACGAAGCGUGAGUGACGGUAAUGGGUAAAGAAGCACCGGCUAACUACGUG